CAAGCAAACCAGACAUGCCCUUAGAAAAACUUACGCCCAUCUCCUCAGUUGCCUGCCCCCAAUGCAUGUGCCCUCAGCUAUGUCGCCUCUGCAAUCUGUACCUCUGCUCAGCCUUUCCCCGCUGCCUGCUCUCGCUCAGCCAGGCACUCCUCACCCAUUAGCACUGUGGCGUGCCCGACAUCACUCGAAUCUGUCCAGACUCAUUUUGGGCCGAGGCCGACCUCGACUUUCCAUCUGUCGCUCGGGCACAGCGGAGGCAAGAAAUGAUUUUACUUUCACACUCACUUAGACGAUUUUCUGUUGGUACUCCAUGGUUUGCCUCCCCUUGCCCGCUGGGUGUUCGAUGAAAUUCUGUAUAUACUUCCUAAUUUUUUUAUGUGUGCAUUUAGCAGUUGGCCAUGUUUAAAGGGUAGAUGAAGACCCCACCAGUUCAGCCUCCGCCACGAAACAAUCUCUCCUUGUGGCCACCAGGCAGGGAACCCCGGUUUCUCGGAGGACGAUUGCUCUAAAUAUCGACGCUCUUAUGAUAGAAUCCGGUACGCAACUUAACCGUACAACAAAAACGGGCACGGGCCAAGGCUGCAAUUGAAAGCCGAAAAAUAAGCAUGAACAUCUCAAUCACCUUGCACCGCUGAAGGUAUGAGCAAUUGCUCAUUUUCGCUCGCUUUUGCGAAGUAACAUUACUUGCCCCCAACAGUGUUAUUCCUUCUGGACACUUACUGGAUCUACUUUCACAGACUUGACCUUCAUUUUCCUUUUCUGUUCUCAUAUAUGACUUCAGUGCUUUUGCAGUUCUCUGACCGAGCCAAUAGUUCGUGAGUGCAUAUAUUUUCCAUCUACAUUUCGCUUAGAGAAUAUUACUUGCCAGUUACUUCUUCUACCUUUUUACUGAGUGCCUAUAAGUGGACUGCAGCUAGAAACUAGGAAUCAUAAAAAGCACCUUCUGCUUUACUUUAACCAUAAGUAUUUCGGAUGUGCAAGCUUCUUUCAUGUUCACUCCAUAUGGGUGAAUUUUUUUUUUCUCUGUGGGUUAAGUGGUUUAUUUUAAUAAAUAGUUUAAGACCAAAAAAUAUAUACCAAACCCCCUACACGAAACCAAUAACCGCAGCUGAGCAGAACCCAACUAAUUACAUUUCAACCUCAAAACAGAUGAUUCAUGCUUGUUCGUCAAUCCCGGUUCUGCAUCCAUGCUUCUCCAUGCUGCUUAUGUGGCUGCACAGGGGAAGAAGAUAUGUUCUCAGGUCUCCACUUCAUAAUCAAAACUCACAUUGUGCUGAUAACAUGUGAAUAGAGAAUGUGAAACUGAGCAUGCUUUUUUGGUUGCAUAGACAACCAAGCAUCGUGGCAAAAUACGUUUUUCCUCCAUUUUCUCUAAUUCCACUAACACGCUUUUGGAAGUUUUUAGAGUCCUGAAAGAUAUGCCUUUAGUUAUGUGUUUUAUCAAAAAGGCUGCUGAAAAGGAGCCUAAAUAUUCUCUAUGUCAAUUCCAAACCCUAUAGUUCUAUUCCUUAAAACUCCGUUGACCUUUGGCAGGCCAACUUCUUCCCAUUUAACUUUUGCUCCAUCUGCACACUCAAAACUACUACGCUUACGAUGAAUUGUAUGUGUAUUACCUUUCUUUUUGUUUUUUGGAAAAAUGCAGUUUGCACCAACUGUAGUCGUGCUAAAAGUAAAAUAGUUAUCUACAUAGGAGUAAAAAGGUGACUCAUAUUUAGUCCUUUUUGUCACACCGAUACUCAUAUAAAUCCUCAAAUGAAAUCUCCUGACAAUAAUCAGUUUAUCAAACUUUCAUAAAAUCAAACAUUAAAAUCCCAAUCAACUAUACCAUCCAUACAUCUUGUGAAUUAUUGACAUCAAUUUUAUCUUUUGCUUACUAUAUUUUCUUCCUGGUUUGCUUUAUGAUUUUCUGGAGGUAAGGAGCGUGGAAUUCGCCAAACCAACUGGUUGGGUCUACAUAUCCCUUUCCAAGAAUGAUCCUCUAUAAGGUCUCAGGAAUCCUAUCCUUGACUGCCAUUUCAAUUCAUCUCAGCGAAGUUCAAGACACGCUUUUAUGAGAUAACAUGAAUGUAACCCUGUUGACAAAGAUGAUGCAGAAUGAAAGUCUCUCCAUUGAAUUUAUUAGGCCAGUCAAAAUUGCAAGUCGAGUAAGUUAGCUCUAUAUUGUAAAUGUUUCCCCUCAGAAGAAGUUCAGGAGUUUUGGCCUGUACUCAGGUGAUAUUUGAUUCUGUUGGUGUAGGAGUUAUAUGAGUGUGCUUGUGCAAUCUUGAAAGAUAGGUAACGAUUUGAUUUAUACAUCAAAAAAGUAAAAUAUGGAUUCAUAUGUAAAUUUUUUUUUACAGCUGUUUAAUUGAGCAAUCUCUGUGGAUACGCUAAACUGUCUUUCCUAGUGGAUUUAGCUAUUGAAGCAGUCUGCUAGGCCUGCUUAGCCACAAGGCACAACCCAUUUCAGCCGUUUAGGCAGUUGGUGCAGCCGAUAUCACUGUCCAGUAUUUACAUUGGACAAAGUGCUAAGGCUUCGCCCGACUAAUCCUCGGGGCUCUGUGAACCCCCGGUGGCGCAUAGAGCGGGUAAUUAUGCCAAAGGCGCUCCGGUGGCCCUAAGGGGAUUCGAACCCGGAAUCGGGUGCAAGUUUAGGCGCACCUUAAUCACUAGGCCAAACCCCUUGGGGUUCAUCGUUCUUGAAGUUGAACAUUUCUAAACCAGCCUCCUCGAUCUUUGAGCCUACAAGCUGUUUGCUUAUAUUGCUCCUUCUAUUCCGUGCAUAUGCAUCUGAAAUGCAGUCACCCUAAUUAGUGUUAAGUUUUACUUAAGGCACAUUCUGACACUCAAGUUUGAUUUUUAUUUUUUUUUGGUGAGUUUCUUGCAAUCAUGUUUAUAUAUGGAGGUAAGAAUUGACAAGUUUAAUAAUAAAUAUUGCAAUCGGAUUCUUUAUU
Non-coding RNA from Punica granatum (pomegranate), 2933 nucleotides. NCBI's taxonomy places the organism in Eukaryota, Viridiplantae, Streptophyta, Magnoliopsida, Myrtales, Lythraceae. The record is from RefSeq and is a predicted model, not a curated record.